UUAACACUGACUCACGGAUCAAAGGACACCCCAGCAAGGAUUCUUGACCAUGGAGAGCUUCAAAGUGUGGAACUCAAGAAGUCAUAGGCAAACCUUUGUAUAUUUGCAUUUUCUUGGAAACAGAAUCCUCAGAGAUGGCUCACCCUCUGGACAGAUGAUGGUAGGUGGUUGUCUCCCAUCAGCAAGAGUUUAUGGAAGAGAUCUUGUCUGCAAGAGGAGGAGGAGAAAAAAGGCAGAGGAAUCCCUCACUUCAAAUGAGGUUAUGGAGAUGCGUAAAAUGUGGGCAACAGUGCAAAAUUUUGUGGAAAAACACCACCCGAAUAAAGCUGUAGCAGUGCGAGCAAUGAAUCUGUCUAACCACAAUACAAUGUCUCAUUUCUGCGAAAUCCUCAAAAGGAGGCAAAAGCAAGUGUCACUGGAUAGGUUCUUUGUUAGAUUUGCAUGAAAAGAAAAAGACCCCAUUGAGCCAACAGAUAGCAGUGAUUCCAUAUUGACAGUGAAAGUCCUCUUAAUGACCCUCCUCUCUCUUGUCUCUCUCACACCGGCCAUGAAGUUUGCAAAAGUGCAG
This 568-nucleotide long non-coding RNA is filed under the name Heterocephalus glaber (naked mole-rat). Its description in RNAcentral is "lncRNA (ENSHGLG00000049535.1)". The record is from RNAcentral. Lineage: Eukaryota; Metazoa; Chordata; Mammalia; Rodentia; Bathyergidae.